AUUCUUCAUCAUGUGUGAGAAACUUAAUUCCAUAUUCGUUCCUCUGCCUCAUCCUUUUUCGAGAUGGAUCACAUGAACUCCUCCAACGCUGGCGAACUCAUAAAGCACGAGGGUUUCAUCGACAGUAGCUUCCUCCUCAAUUGCAAGGCUAGGAACGGUUAUGUGAUUGUGUAACCCUACUUGAUUGCGUAGUAGGUUGGGUAGCAGUUCGUCUUUGCGUAGCACUUCGCGUCUUCCAUUCUCGAGUUCUAUAUUCUUGUUGUCUUCCUCUGUCAUUGCAUCUUGAAGAGGUUAGUACUUUCCUAACCCAAAAAUGUUAUAUUGAAAUUUGCUUAAAUUUUGGGAUUAAAAGAGCAAAAUGUUUUGAUUUAAUAGGUAUCACCGGAUUGUUUGAGAGAUUGGUGUCCUUCCUUUCGGAGAAUUUGAAGGUGUUUCGGAAGACAGAGUUUCAAUCUUGUCGCUGGGUGAAGUCGCUGCACAUUGUUCCUCAAGUGCUCAAUAUCAAUAUGUUUCAGAAACAGCCCAACGGCAAUGACGAGGUAAAUCAUCCGUUUCAGAACCGUCAUUCCAGAAUGCUAAAACAUUGUUCGUGUUAUUGUGCUUUUAUUACUUUCCAAAAUGGCACUCUUUUAUAAAAACAUUUUAUCUUUCAUAAAAAGUACAUUGUAU
RNAcentral lists this small RNA (669 nucleotides) under Vigna angularis var. angularis. Its description in RNAcentral is "Non-protein coding transcript". The record is from RNAcentral. Lineage: Eukaryota; Viridiplantae; Streptophyta; Magnoliopsida; Fabales; Fabaceae.